UACGUAGGUGACCAGCGUUGUCCGGAUUUACUGGGCGUAAAGAGCGCGCAGGCGGUCGUUCAAGUCGAGUGUGAAAGCCCCCGGCUCAACUGGGGAGGGUCACUCGAUACUGAUCGACUUGAAGGCAGGAGAGGGAAGCGGAAUUCCCGGUGUAGUGGUGAAAUGCGUAGAUAUCUGGAGGAACACCGGUGGCGAAGGCGGCAUCCUGGACCGGCAUUGACGCUGAGGAGCGAAAGCCAGGGGAGCAAACGGG
Molecule: ribosomal RNA, 253 nt
Filed under: uncultured bacterium
Lineage: Bacteria
Description: partial 16S ribosomal RNA
Rfam family: Bacterial small subunit ribosomal RNA
Source: RNAcentral